This 397-nucleotide ribosomal RNA is filed under the name uncultured bacterium. Its description in RNAcentral is "partial 16S ribosomal RNA". It matches the Rfam family "Bacterial small subunit ribosomal RNA", at positions 338 to 732 of the family's 1533-position model. The record is from RNAcentral.
CCUACGGGUGGCUGCAGUGAGGAAUAUUGGUCAAUGGCCGUAAGCCUGAACCAGCCAAGUCGCGUGAAGGAUGAAGGCCCUAUGGUUUGUAAACUUCUUUUAUAAGGGAAUAAAGGUAUCCACGUGUGGCUUUUUGCAUGUACCCUAUGAAUAAGCAUCGGCUAACUCCGUGCCAGCAGCCGCGGUAAUACGGAGGAUGCGAGCGUUAUCCGGAUUUAUUGGGUUUAAAGGGUGCGUAGGUUGUUUGUUAAGUCAGGUGUGAAAGUUUGUGGCUCAACCAUAAAAUUGCAAUUGAAACUGGCAGACUUGAGUAGAGUUGAGGUAGGCGGAAUGCGGGGGGUAGCGGUGAAAUGCUUAGAUAUCACGAAGAACUCCGAUGGCGAAGGCAGCUAACUAA